RNAcentral lists this ribosomal RNA (246 nucleotides) under uncultured bacterium. RNAcentral's name for it is "partial 16S ribosomal RNA". It matches the Rfam family "Bacterial small subunit ribosomal RNA", at positions 524 to 769 of the family's 1533-position model. The record is from RNAcentral.
UACAGAGGUGGCAAGCGUUGUUCGGAAUUACUGGGCGUAAAGGGCGCGUAGGCGGCCUACUAAGUCAGACGUGAAAUCCCCCGGCUUAACCUGGGAACUGCGUCUGAUACUGGCAGGCUUGAGUAUGGGAGAGGGAUGUAGAAUUCCAGGUGUAGCGGUGAAAUGCGUAGAUAUCUGGAGGAAUACCGGUGGCGAAGGCGGCAUCCUGGACCAUUACUGACGCUGAGGCGCGAAAGCUAGGGGAGC